Molecule: unclassified non-coding RNA, 263 nt
Filed under: Hevea brasiliensis (rubber tree)
Lineage: Eukaryota; Viridiplantae; Streptophyta; Magnoliopsida; Malpighiales; Euphorbiaceae
Source: RNAcentral
GUGCGAGAUGGUUUGUGCUUGAAGAUGGGGUGUUGUCGUAUUACAAAGUUCAUGGACCGGAUAAAAUUGCUAUGAGUCCAGGGAAAGAAAAGGGGUUGAAGGUUAUUGGGGAUGAGUCUUGGAGGUAUAUGAGGAAGGCUAAUGUGAACAAUAAUCGACUGAAUGGAUCUAACAAGUGGAAGCCGUUUGGGGAAAUACAUUUGAAGGUCUCGUCAGUUCGGGCAAGCAAGUCAGAUGACAAAAGGCUUUCUAUAUUCACGGGA